This 180-nucleotide ribosomal RNA is filed under the name uncultured bacterium. RNAcentral's name for it is "partial 16S ribosomal RNA". It matches the Rfam family "Bacterial small subunit ribosomal RNA", at positions 1320 to 1500 of the family's 1533-position model. The record is from RNAcentral.
AUGAAGCCGGAAUUGCUAGUAAUGGCAGGUCAGCAUACUGCCGUGAAUACGUUCCCGGGCCUUGUACACACCGCCCGUCACACCAUGAGAGUUGGGGAUACCCGAAGCCUGUGAGCUAACAUUAUGAGGCAGCAGUCGAAGGUAGAAUCAAUGAUUGGGGUGAAGUCGUAACAAGGUAAC